GAUGAACGCUGGCGGCGUGCCUAAUACAUGCAAGUCGAGCGAACAGACGAGGAGCUUGCUCCUCUGACGUUAGCGGCGGACGGGUGAGUAACACGUGGAUAACCUACCUAUAAGACUGGGAUAACUUCGGGAAACCGGAGCUAAUACCGGAUAAUAUAUUGAACCGCAUGGUUCAAUAGUUAAAGACGGUUUUGCUUUCACUUAUAGAUUGAUCCGCGCCGCAUUAGCUAGUUGGUAAGGUAACGGCUUACCAAGGCAACGAUGCGUAGCCGACCUGAGAGGGUGAUCGGACACACUGGAACUGAGACACGGUCCAGACUCCUACGGGAGGAAGCAGUAGGGAAUCUUCCGCAAAGGGCGAAAGCCUGACGGAGCAACGCCGCGUGAGUGAUGAAGGUCUUCGGAUCGUAAAACUCUGUUAUUAGGGAAGAACAAAUGUGUAAGUAACUAUGCACGUCUUGACGGUACCUAAUCAGAAAGCCACGGCUAACUACGUG
RNAcentral lists this ribosomal RNA (497 nucleotides) under uncultured bacterium. Its description in RNAcentral is "partial 16S ribosomal RNA". It matches the Rfam family "Bacterial small subunit ribosomal RNA", at positions 28 to 507 of the family's 1533-position model. The record is from RNAcentral.